UUGCACAGGUGCUGCAUGGCUGUCGUCAGCUCGUGUCGUGAGAUGUUCGAUUAAGUCCGCUAACGAGCGCAACCCUCGCUGUGUGUUAUAUGUGUCACACGGGACUGCCGGUCUUAAGCCGGAGGAAGGUGGGGAUGAUGUCAAGUCAGCAUGGCCUUUAUAUCCUGGGCUACACACACGCUACAAUGGCCAACACAAUAGGUUGCUAAGCCGCGAGGUGGCGCCAAUCCAUAAAGUUGGUCUCAGUUCAGAUUGUAGGCUGCAACCCGCCUGCAUGAAGAUGGAGUUGCUAGUAACCGCAGGUCAGCUAUACUGCGGUGAAUACGUUCCCGGGCUU
RNAcentral lists this ribosomal RNA (337 nucleotides) under uncultured Leptolinea sp. RNAcentral's name for it is "bacterial SSU rRNA". It matches the Rfam family "Bacterial small subunit ribosomal RNA", at positions 1030 to 1381 of the family's 1533-position model. The record is from RNAcentral. Lineage: Bacteria; Bacillati; Chloroflexota; Anaerolineae; Anaerolineales; Anaerolineaceae.